Molecule: long non-coding RNA, 775 nt
Organism: Mus musculus (house mouse)
Lineage: Eukaryota; Metazoa; Chordata; Mammalia; Rodentia; Muridae
Product: predicted gene, 53656
Exons: 2
Source: RefSeq, a predicted model, not a curated record
CCGGGGGCGCUUACCUGUUGGAGGUAGAGGAAAGCGGGCGGGCAUGGCACGGAGUGCGGGAGCAUGCUGCCGGAGUUGGACAGCAGGAGGCAGCCCGAGUUCGCCAUGGAGCACAGCAUGGGGCGUCAGGGGGGCGCCCGGCGGCCGAGGCGGCUCUGCGCUCGCUGCGUCCCUCGGUGUGUGCGCGCGCCCUGCCUCCCGGGCGCCCUCCCGGUCUCUCCUCCUCCGGGCCUCCCCUCCCCCGCUUGGCGCUCGUUAGGAGGGAGGCAUGGAAAGGGGAGCGGCGCGCCUCUGCCAGGGGCUGCCCCUGUCCGGGGCGGGGAGGCUUGAGAGCGCGCGCGAGAAGAUGGAAAGAGGAUGGAUGCGCUGCGCGAGAGGAUGGAUGCGGGGAGAGGGGAGCCAGUCACUUUGGAGCCACCGGAGCCCUGUCUGCAAAGAGUGCCUGCUGUUUUACUGUCCUGUUUUACACCUGUCUGUCCUCUCAGAGUGGCUUUCAGUCAGCACUCCCUGCCCAGCAGGGAACUUGGGCAGCCAGGAGGGUUCACCCAGCGCUCCAGGCAGACCACCAUGCAGCCACUGUCUGGGGAAGGAGCUAUUGAACUAAAUCAUCUUUCCUGGAGUGAGCUCACGGUCUAGUGUGGAACCCAAAUCUGCAGCCCAACAGCCACGAACACCAGGCCAGGGAAGCCUCCGCCUCCACCAGCCAGCCCACCACGUGCAGGCUCGCUGGGAGACGUGAAAAAGAAUUAAAUGAAAUCUCCAGAAAGAGUUUGAA